RNAcentral lists this ribosomal RNA (440 nucleotides) under uncultured bacterium. Its description in RNAcentral is "partial 16S ribosomal RNA". It matches the Rfam family "Bacterial small subunit ribosomal RNA", at positions 338 to 795 of the family's 1533-position model. The record is from RNAcentral.
CCUACGGGUGGCUGCAGUGGGGGAUAUUGCACAAUGGGGGAAACCCUGAUGCAGCGACGCCGCGUGUGGGAAGACGGUCCUCUGGAUUGUAAACCACUGUCCCCAGGGACGAAGAUGACGUUACCUGGGGAGGAAGCUCCGCCUAACUACGGCCAAGCAGCCGCGGGAAUAGGUAGGGAGCAACGGUUGUCCGGAAUUACUGGGUGUAAAGGGAGGGUAGGGGGGAUGGGAAGUUGGGUGUUAAAUCUACCGGCUAAACGGGUAGUCGCACUCAAAACUGCUAUUCUUGAGUGAAGUAGAGGCAGGCGGAAUUCCUAGUGUAGGGGUGAAAUGCGUAGAUAUUAGGAGGAACACCAGUGGCGAAGGCGGCCUGCUGGGCUUUUACUGACGCUGAGGCUCGAAAGUGUGGGGAGCAAACAGGAUUAGAUACCCCAGUAGUC